This 500-nucleotide ribosomal RNA is filed under the name uncultured cyanobacterium. RNAcentral's name for it is "bacterial SSU rRNA". It matches the Rfam family "Bacterial small subunit ribosomal RNA", at positions 356 to 870 of the family's 1533-position model. Lineage: Bacteria; Bacillati; Cyanobacteriota. The record is from RNAcentral.
GGGUAAUUUUCCGCAAUGGGCGAAAGCCUGACGGAGCAAUACCGCGUGAGGGACGAAGGCUUUUGGGUCGUAAACCUCUUUUCCCUGAGAAGAAGAUCUGACGGUAUCAGGGGAAUCAGCAUCGGCUAACUUCGUGCCAGCAGCCGCGGUAAUACGAGGGAUGCAAGCGUUAUCCGGAAUUAUUGGGCGUAAAGCGUCCGCAGGUGGCUCUGUAAGUCUGUCGUUAAAGAAUGGGGCUCAACCCCAUACAGGCGAUGGAAACUACAAGGCUAGAGUUUGGUAGGGGUCACGGGAAUUCCUAGCGUAGCGGUGAAAUGCGUAGAUAUUAGGAAGAACACCAGCGGCGAAAGCGCGUGACUGGGCCAGUACUGACACUCAUGGACGAAAGCUAGGGGAGCGAAAGGGAUUAGAUACCCCUGUAGUCCUAGCCGUAAACGAUGAUAACUAGGUGUUGCCCGUAUCGACCCGGGCAGUGCCGUAGCCAACGCGUUAAGUUAUCC